RNAcentral lists this ribosomal RNA (492 nucleotides) under uncultured bacterium. RNAcentral describes it as "partial 16S ribosomal RNA". It matches the Rfam family "Bacterial small subunit ribosomal RNA", at positions 28 to 507 of the family's 1533-position model. The record is from RNAcentral.
GGUGAACGCUGGCGGUAGGCCUAACACAUGCAAGUCGAACGGCAGCACAGUAAGAGCUUGCUCUUACGGGUGGCGAGUGGCGGACGGGUGAGGAAUACAUCGGAAUCUACUUUUUCGUGGGGGUUAACGUAGGGAAACUUACGCUAAUACCGCAUACGACCUACGGGUGAAAGCAGGGGAUCUUCGGACCUUGCGCGAUUGAAUGAGCCGAUGUCGGAUUAGCUAGUUGGCGGGGUAAAGGCCCACCAAGGCGACGAUCCGUAGCUGGUCUGAGAGGAUGAUCAGCCACACUGGAACUGAGACACGGUCCAGACUCCUACGGGAGGCAGCAGUGGGGAAUAUUGGGCAAUGGGCGCAAGCCUGAUCCAGCCAUACCGCGUGGGUGAAGAAGGCCUUCGGGUUGUAAAGCCCUUUUGUUGGGAAAGAAAAGCAGCAGGUUAAUACCCCGCUGUUCUGACGGUACCCAAAGAAUAAGCACCGGCUAACUUCGUG